GAUGAACGCUGGCGGCGUGCCUAAUACAUGCAAGUCGAGCGAACAGACGAGGAGCUUGCUCCUCUGACGUUAGCGGCGGACGGGUGAGUAACACGUGGAUAACCUACCUAUAAGACUGGUAUAACUUCGGGAAACCGGAGCUAAUACCGGAUAAUAUAUUGAACCGCAUGGUUCAAUAGUGAAAGACGGUUUUGCUGUCACUUCUAGCUGGAUCCGCGCCGCAUUAGCUAGUUGGUAAGGUAACGGCUUACCAAGGCGACGAUGCGUAGCCGACGUGAGAGGGUGAUCGGCCACACUGGAACUGAGACACGGUCCAGAGUACUACGGGAGGCAGCAGUAGGGAAUCUUCCGCAAUGGGCGAAAGCUUGACGGAGCAACGCCGCGUGAGUGAUGAAGGUCUUCGGAUCGUAAAACUCUGUUAUUAGGGAAGAACAAAUGUGUAAGUAACUAUGCACGUCUUGACGGUACCUAAUCAGAAAGCCACGGCUAACUACGUG
RNAcentral lists this ribosomal RNA (497 nucleotides) under uncultured bacterium. RNAcentral's name for it is "partial 16S ribosomal RNA". It matches the Rfam family "Bacterial small subunit ribosomal RNA", at positions 28 to 507 of the family's 1533-position model. The record is from RNAcentral.